This 534-nucleotide long non-coding RNA is filed under the name Sorghum bicolor (sorghum). Its description in RNAcentral is "long non-coding RNA (SBIC_LNC003808)". Lineage: Eukaryota; Viridiplantae; Streptophyta; Magnoliopsida; Poales; Poaceae. The record is from RNAcentral.
AGAAAAUUAAUGAGAAAGAAAGGGUGGUUCGCAUCACCUCGCAUCACUUCUUUGACAAGGUAAGCACUAACAUAUCGAUGCUGAUUUUUUCUUCUCUCCUGAUCUCUUUAGGCGCUGAUGCUAUUAUCUUCUCUCCAGAUCUCUUUAGGUGCUGAUGCUCUGUUUUUUUUCUUCUUCUCUAGACUGUAGCCACAGAAUGUUGGUCAAUAGUCAUUAGAAUCUAAGCGUUGGAUCGGACCUUUCUGGUGGACAUGCAUGUAGUACGCCGAUUAAAAGGAGGACGUCAUGAAGAAAAGUUCCGGUGACAGAAAUCUCAUGCAAAUAUCGUCAAAAAUAGUAAGGACGUCACUGGCUAAGAUUUCAGAUUUCAGCGACAGAUAUCGUCUCAGGAGUGAUCAUCUAGCACCUCUCUUGGUUUGCCGAUUAUGGCGCGAACAAGGUUACUGGAUUUGCACCAUUGCAGAUGUUGUUGUAGAAGCAUAGCAAGUGGGCGGGGAUGGUGCUAAUCCUGCUCCUUUACCCUAUCGAUACGGC